This 407-nucleotide long non-coding RNA is filed under the name Gossypium barbadense (sea-island cotton). RNAcentral describes it as "long non-coding RNA (GBAR_LNC018808)". The record is from RNAcentral. Lineage: Eukaryota; Viridiplantae; Streptophyta; Magnoliopsida; Malvales; Malvaceae.
GCACAACAAAAGAGUCGACUUUGAUUUGGGUUUAACUGCUCUAGCGCCCGGGUGAGCCACUGUACAAAAUCCUCGCUUUGAUACAUCAUAAUGUUCUGAAGUGAUAAUGUUUUCCAUACCUCUCUUGUAACAGCACAGUCACGGAAUAAGUGAUUCAUUGUUUCAGCUCCUUCUCCACAUCGGGGGCACCUUGUGUUGACUGUUAAUUUCCGGUGUUGUAGAUUUACCUUUGUAGGCAGAUAGUUCCAUAAUAGCCGCCAUAUUGUGAUCUUUAUUUUUGUUGGUAUAUUCAGGCUCCAAAGUGUUUUGUAAAAUUUUCUGUAGAUGAUUUGUAAAGCAUAAGCUCUAGGAUUAUCAGUCGAUCUCUGUAAUAGUUGAUAGGCACUUCGUACCGUAAAUUCACCCGA